UACGUCAUCAGCACGCGAACAAACUGGCGCGUGAUUGUAUUGUGAAACGCGAGAGGGCGCAAGGUUACAGCUUUUCGUUUAAAGACUUCAUUAGUCGAUUAAAUAUAUUUCAUAAUAAUUGUUAGUUUCAAGAUAAAUUUAGGAUAAAAAAAGACCACCCACAAAGUAUAAAUGAAAGUCAGUGGACAGAUUAUUCAUGUGCACAUUCUCUUAAUAAUGAAAGUUUUUUUUUUAUCACUUUUUCAUCUUUGCAAUAUUACAAAAUGCAAUUCAUAAUGAUAUCAUCGCUUAGGAAGUGCCAUCAACAUUUUGGAGGGAAGAAACAUGGAAAACAACAGUACCAGUAAGUAGCUGUUACAUUUAUAUUUAGUAUAUUUUAUCUAUCCAAAUAAGCGACUUACAAAUGCAUUGGACUUAAUACAUUCUGUGCUAUUUUGUGUGAACAAAUUUGAUUGGUGCAUUUAAUAUUUAUUAUUGCAGUUCAGAUAAUAAAAGAUGUAUGUCUAUAGGCCCUGAAGUUCCAGCUCAUCAAACGUUAUCUGUAUGCUUUCCUUCUUAUAUUGCAGUUCAGUUGCAGUGAUAUUUAUUUUUCUACUAAAUUGUGCAGCCCUGCACAAAAAAGCCUUUUCCUCUCACUCAUGUUGCUCUCAUGUUUUUCUUUCUUCCAUGAAACACAAAAUGAGUAGCCUAAUUAUAUUGCAAUUAUUUUCUCAUAAGUAAAUGAGAACUACAUGAGAGAAAAAAAGAAGCAAUUAAGUUUGUGCACAAUUUCUUCUUCUACAGUGCAAACAGCACUUCUGGUAUAUGUAACCUGAGAAGUUCUCACUAUAUUAUAGAUGUCAGCAUCACUGUGUAUCACAGAUGCGGCAGAUUUUAAUGUGCAAAUCCAUUACAUGGCUUCAGAUGACUUGGAAUAUAUUGCAAUGUAUGCAGUACUUUAUGGCAGGAAGCUGAGCACUACUGACAGAACUGACAGUCCAUGUCUUGACAACAAUUACAGCCUGACAUGGACCAGCUUCUGGAUAUAAGGUUCAACCUUUUCUCCUGAUGAGUGCCAUCUGAUGGAAUUCAAAUGGGAGGAUGAGGACAGUGCUUGCAGGCCAUUUACGGUCACAGAACUUAAGACUGAUGCUCUAUGACAGUGCCAAUCCUUUUUGUUUCUUAUUUGAUGGACUGACUGAAUAAUUUAUUUAUACAGUAUAUAGAGGUGUGACUAUGUUUCUCUGUUCCAAAAGUUAUAGUGUGCUGUCUGUCAAGGAGACAUAUUAAAGGAAUAGCUCAGCCAAAAAUGAAAAUUUGCAGAACGUUUCUCACCCUCAGGCCAUCCAAGAUGUAGAUGAGUUUGUAGAAGGGUGCCGUCAGAAUAAGAGUCCAAACAGCUGAUAAAAACAUCACAAUAAUCCACAAGUAGUCAAUCAGUUAUUUGAAGUGAAAAGCUACACGCUUGCAAUAAACAAAUCCAUCAUUUAGGCA
Molecule: long non-coding RNA, 1473 nt
Organism: Cyprinus carpio (common carp)
Lineage: Eukaryota; Metazoa; Chordata; Actinopteri; Cypriniformes; Cyprinidae
Source: Ensembl